CUCCAUUUUUUAGCUAAGAGAUUGAGAGAGUCGGUUUACUUUUGGGCUUGGAGUAUCAUUUAGAUCUGUUAACAGUACAGUUGAGAGAGUUGGUGUCUUUUGUUGAGGUGCGAGGACCCGAGGCGGCGACCCUCGCCUUUAUUCGGAGAAGCCCACUUCCACCCACAGAGUUGGGGUAGUCCUCCGAAAUGCAUUUUUGUUUUGCCGUUUGUUUUCCAACCCCCUUUCACUCUCCCCAAAGCUUCAGAUUCACUGAUUUUUCAUACAGGAAUGAUUAACAAAGGCGUCCGAAGAAAUCGUUGUUGGAAGGUGACCAAGGUGGAAAGAGACGUUGCUUUGGCCCUGCAAGUAAGAAGAGAGAGGGAAUAGCCUGAAGGAGUAACACUAAAUUUAAAAUGACACUUUUUUACCAACCAGCGAAAGCAGAUGUUCAAAGGGGAUAUUGGCCAGAGUCUGUCACACUAAGAUGAGAAAUGUCCUUUCUUCCUGAAGGUGUCUGAUGUGUAAAAAUAUGAUAUACUUUGUGCUGUUUCCUCCCUUCCCUUUUGCAUAUUAUUCUGAAACAACAUUAACUAGUUACUUUGCGUCAUUGAAGGUAUGCACUUCCCCUCUAUGUUAGGAGUGAAUAAAAUUAAAAAUAGAUCCUUAUAACAAAGAAAGGCAGAUAGAAUGAUUAAAAAUGACCAAAACAUGUUAGAAACAGUCUCUCAGGUGUAUGCAGAUGGUAAUUACAAAAAUACUUUUUCAAAAAAUGAUCUUCUGUGUCAUGUUUCUGGGAACAAGUCAAGAUGAAUGAGUUUGAUUUUUAAGCAGAAGUAGUAUGUGUUGGUGUCAUCCAUGAAUACAACAAUGAAAAAGGCUCAAAGUUGUUGUUAUUCAGAAACUUCUCUAAGUAAUGGUGGUAAGUACAGGAAAAGGAGCAAUGUCUACCAUUUUCUUUCUAACCUUCGAUUUAACUAUUGUAAUGUUGUAAGCUUAACAGAGACUUACACUUAGGCUUAAUUUCAAGCUCUUCAAUCAUUUUUCCCGGUUGGUGAUUCAGGUGUAUUCUCAUGUCUUAUGUAAACUUAUCAUGAGUGUUGUUGAUUUAUAAUAUAUUUCUUUAUGUAAGCCAUA
Molecule: long non-coding RNA, 1116 nt
Organism: Homo sapiens (human)
Lineage: Eukaryota; Metazoa; Chordata; Mammalia; Primates; Hominidae
Gene: RAB30-DT
Product: RAB30 divergent transcript
Source: Ensembl